UGGCUCUCGGCCAUCUGUGCCAGACUCGACCGGGAGGGUAGACGGGGGAGCGAUGAUCCUCACUUCCAGCCCUGCCCCCAAGGAACCCCAGGGCAGGAGGAGAUGCGGCUCCCCCUGUGACACAGUGACAGCCACCUUGCUGACAGCUCUCAUCUCCUUGGAUGAACUGCCAGCAAUUUCUAGGAGCAAGAUCUCCUGAUGGAAGCGACCAGGUCCCCGCAGGACUGGGAGACCAUCCCCCUCGCGCCCCACCCCCAGAAGGAGCAGGCAGCUGCCAGUUCCCUCCUGGAGUGCAGGGCUCUUGUCCUGGACGGUUGCCGGAGGGUUAGGGGACCGAGGAGGGGGGUGGGGAGUGCAAGGGCCACGUUCUGUUCACCCCCCCGGAGAAAGGGUCCGAUUCCCACAAAAGGACCUCCACCGCCCUGGUUCCAGGGCAUCCACCCCAACAGCCCCCCCCCCCCCAACUCCACACUGUGUGCUGAGCGGAGAGGGCGGGACCGAUGCGGGACACAGGGGGACUGUGGUGGCCACCUGAGCUGAGGUCACGGCCCUGACACUCGGCUGGGGGCAGUGUGUCUGCCCGGGAGGGACUCCCUGUCCCCUGUCCCCUGUCCGUGUCCCUGGAGGAGAGCCUCAGACCACACAUAGUCCCAUCAAGGCAUCUCACUAGCAGAGUGAUGUCCCUUGCUGUGCCUGUGCCCCCUGCUGACCGCCUCUCCCCGUCAGUAAAGAGGGGCAGUAACGUUGACCCCACCGGACCAUCAGGUUUUUGUUUUUAUCGCUGGUUAGUUCGAAUACAGGGCAAUGUUGGUUUGGGGAGUGGAAGUCGGUGACUCAUCGCUUGCAUGCAACACCGGGCGCUCAUCCAGACAAGUGUCCCCGUUAGUGCCCAUCCCCCACCCACCUCCCUCGUCACCCUCAGUCUGUUCUCUGUCUUUGAGAGUCUCCUCUGCUUCGUUUCCCUCUCGCUCCCCCCUCCCCCGCUUCCCACAUGUUCAUCUGUUUUGUUUCUUAAAUUCCACGCGUGAGUGAAAUCGUAUAUGGCACUUGUCUUUGUCUGCGGACCAUCAGGUUUUGAACACAGGCUUGGAGAAUCGGUGUGCCCCCCCAAAGCUGCCCGCUCGUGUACCACCCCGGGGCCCAGCAUCUAGACAAUGACUUCAAUAUUGUUCACGGGUCGGAAUCACUUUCAAAUUUUAAACCCGUCUGUUUUGAAAAGGAAACGUGUGUCACCGCUGUGCGUGAAAACUCAGUAUGGGUGACCCCGGAGAGAGCCGCAAGCCGAGACGCGCUGGCUUCGCCCCUUCCAGACCCGCCGAGCACACACACAGCCGUCUGGACCCUUUCAAAGUUCUGUGUCUGACGUUUUACAACCAGACCUCACGACCGUUCGGCCCCAGGUCUCUGUUGUCACGUGGCUGUCAGAGGCUACGUGACCUCCGGCUCCUGGAAAUGACCUUCAAGGCCGUCGAAAAGAGCACACGGUGCCAAGAGUGGGUACCCAGGGCUUGGGGGUCACGCCGCAGUGCAGCCAGUUCCCAUGGGCCGGGCUUGGAGGCCCGAGGGGCGAGUGCCUGCUGGUGUGCGGGCUCAGCUGGGCGGUGAUGUCCCCCAAACUCAUUUUUUUCUGGCCGUGCAACAGAAUAAAUAGGUAAACUAAACUCCUCUGACAUUGCAACACAGAGGCUGGCGGAGGGCUGAUAAGGUGGGAAAGGCCCCGGGGAAAAUACGUCUCGAAGGAAGAACCGUCCCGCCCUUAGCAAACAUAGCAAGGGAAACCCACACUGGCCAAGACGAGUGGUUAUCCGAUCAGGAACAGAACGUGUGUCCGAUCUCAGGUGCCUUCAGAGGGAACCUAGGUCGUGCUCACGUGGGGGCGACGCUGGGCCCCAAAGCUUCACGCAGCCAUCACCUGCUCCGGUGUCCAACGUUGGGGGGAGGGGGGGAUUUGGGCGGUGAGACCUGGCAGGGGGCACCCAGAGCUGGGCUGUUGUCCAAGUUCUUCCACGGACCCUGGACGCGAUGCUCCUCCGUGGGCCUCAGCACCUGACAGGUCGAAGGGGCGGGGUUCCGUGGGGGUCCCUGUCGUCCCCCACGGCGCAGCUGUUCAGGUGCAAAUGCAGGGCCGGCGACUGGAGCCCACGGAGGUGGCCAACACAGCUCGACAUUCGUGGUUUCCCAGAAACUGUGACAACCCAGAGAGUAUUUAGUUCCAAAACUCCGGGACGUAGGUAUUUCUAUUUACGCAUUGCCCGGGCAAGCCCCCGGGGACUGGAUGCGUGGCCGGCACAGCCCGGGUCCCCGGCUGCACCCUGGGGUGGGAUCUGAGCGCGGUGCCUGACCUCUUGCACAGGCGAGCACGUCAGUGACACAGGCGAGCGUGAAGCGUGACACAGGGACACGCGCGGUGCUUCCCAACGGCCGGGAUUCCUGCUUCCGUGUUCUACUAGCUCUGAGGGGGAGUCUUCGGCCACAGGCCCCUCCCUUGCUCGGAAAUCUGCAGCCCCCUGGCCAGGUGGGAACGUGCCCUAAAGAAGCCAACGAACCGAACCCCGAAUCCUUAGCCACACGGAUGUCUGCGGCUUUGCUCUGAAAAUUUAGAGAAGAGACAAGGGCCCCCUGAUCCGGCAUUUGGGUAGAGAAGGGACAGUGGACUCACGAAACAGUGCUCCCUUGCCUAGUGCUGUGCGUACACAUCGGAACGGACUUUAUAGAAGCCUGUGGGGGCACCCGUGCUUCAGAAUUUUAUCUGCGCAGACCUUCUGAGCCAGCAGCCGGCUGUGGGCAUGCGCCUGGGGGGGUCCCCCCCCAAAUGUACUGAGACACCCAGCAUUAUCAUCUACGGCGUUCGGCAGCUCUCGGGGCCAUCGGCACAUGCGCCGUGUCUGGCUGAGUCCCGUACGUGACCGUGUGGGAGCCCCUGUGUGCGCACAAGGACAGGGAGUGCCCCUCGGACCGAUUCGGUCUUCCCUGAACUUCAGACCAAGAAAUGGUGGCACAGGACCCUUCCACCAGCGCCAGACAGGCCGUGGCCAGAGCCACCCGGGGCCCUCGGGAUUCCGCAGCCGGCGUGCCACAAGCAGGUGGGGCACCUGGCGACGGCAGUGACUCCCGUAGAAAGAUCCACGGCUGCGGACGGUCGGCAUAGUGCGGGCGGCCCAGGUAGUGACACAAUCCUCCGUCCAGCAAGCCUGCCUGUGACGUCCAGAUUGUGAACGUGUGCGACAACGAACGACUGUCCGGAACUCGCAGCCAUUAGGAAGGAGCCCCCGAAGUCCCGAGCCGUUGUCAGAAGCAGGACGCAUGCAUGUCCCGAGUCUGUGUGCCCACAGCACAAACAAGGCCGUGAACAUGCACCGAAUGGGUGUCCCAAAGGGAACACGGUCCCCAGAAACGCAACAUGACAGCAGACAUGACGCAGCUUGGCUGGUGCCGACGUUGUACAAAUUCUCUUCCGUGAAGCUUGGUCUGUGUAACUUCGACAGCCAACUGGCCAGAAGGCUCUGGAGACCCAGUAUCGCCUGCUUCCACUCAGGACAGUAGAGUGACAGAGUUAGCCCCGUCUAGAAUUGAAGUGGCACCUGGGUGGCUCAGUCAGCUGAGCGUCGGUGGCUCAGUCUUGAUUUCAGCUCAGGUCAUGAUCUCUUGGUCCGUGGGAUCGAGCCCUGCAUCCGGCUCUGUGCUGACAGCACAGAGCCUGCUUGGGAUUCUGUCUCUCUCUCUCAAAAUAAUAAAUAAACAUUUAAAAACCUUUUUAAAAAUAAA
Molecule: long non-coding RNA, 3765 nt
Organism: Neofelis nebulosa (Clouded leopard)
Lineage: Eukaryota; Metazoa; Chordata; Mammalia; Carnivora; Felidae
Exons: 4
Source: RefSeq, a predicted model, not a curated record